GUGACUCUGGAGAAGCUCUCUACCACAGGAGUGCCGAAGGUGCAACACGGGCCGUUCCCGUGAAUCUCUCAGGCAAAAGGACAGAGGAGGA
Molecule: non-coding RNA, 91 nt
Filed under: uncultured Lawsonibacter sp.
Lineage: Bacteria; Bacillati; Bacillota; Clostridia; Eubacteriales; Oscillospiraceae
Description: Glycine riboswitch
Rfam family: Glycine riboswitch aptamer
About the family: This family represents the bacterial glycine riboswitch. Glycine riboswitches usually consist of two metabolite-binding aptamers domains with similar structures in tandem.
Source: RNAcentral